GAUGAAGAACGUAGCGAAAUGCGAUAAGUAAUGUGAAUUGCAGAAUUCAGUGAAUCAUCGAAUCUUUGAACGCACCUUGCGCCCUUUGGCUAUUCUGAAGGGCAUGCCUGUUUGAGUAUCAUGAACACCUCAACUCUUAUGGUUUGCCAUGAUGAGCCUGGACUUUGGGGGUCUUGCUGGCCUACGGUCAGCUCCUCUCAAAUGAAUCAGCUUGCCAGUGUUUGGUAGAGUCGCAGGUGUGAUAACUAUCUACGCUUGUGGUUUUCUGCCAGAUAACCUUCAGUGAUGGAGGUUCGCUGGAGCUUAUAAAUGUCUCUCCCCAGUGAGGACAGCUUUUUGAACGUUUGAUCUCAAAUCAGGUAGGACUACCCGCUGAACUUAAGCAUAUCAAUAAGCGGAGGA
Molecule: unclassified non-coding RNA, 402 nt
Filed under: soil metagenome
Description: partial contains 5.8S ribosomal RNA, internal transcribed spacer 2, and large subunit ribosomal RNA
Rfam family: 5.8S ribosomal RNA (bases 1-121)
Source: RNAcentral